AAAGAAUUAGCAAAGCCAAGCAAGAUCCCAACUUUGACUUGCCCUCUCUUUGGAAUCGGACGGCCACCUUGUUCUCUGGCAUCUCUCCUAGUUCCAUUUCCGCCGUUGAUCAUGCUGACUUUUCCUCUUCCUUCCAUUUUCUGCUUAUCGAAGUCAAUCAAAGGUCAAAAGUCUUCUGGAAAGUCUGUGAAGAAAAAAGUGAGUAAAAGUCUUUAGGAAAGUCUAGAGAGAAGAAGAAAUGACUAAACUGAAGAACAAGAAUGUUUGAUUUGUUGCAAGUUACAACCACAAGAGGAUCAAUAGGUCUUUAUAUAAACGUUAAAGUGUUCUCCAAACUAACCUUGGGUUUGGCUAAUAUUACAACUUUGAUCAAUUUAUUAUUAACUAUCUGCUUGAACGUUUUGCCCCUCGCCGCCCCCCCUUGGAUUAGAUUAAGAUCUUACUUUAAUUUAUUUUAUUAAUUAUCUCGAUCUUAUUCGAUUUUGUUUAAUAGGGGUUUUGUUGAUCAGAUUACGG
This 516-nucleotide long non-coding RNA is filed under the name Brassica napus (rape). RNAcentral describes it as "long non-coding RNA (BNAP_LNC007207)". Lineage: Eukaryota; Viridiplantae; Streptophyta; Magnoliopsida; Brassicales; Brassicaceae. The record is from RNAcentral.